GUCCAAGCGCCGCCCCCCGGAGGGGGGUUUUUUUUUAGGAAAAAGACAGGCCGGGUUUGGGCGGCCCUUCCUGGGUAAAUCUUGGUUACCCAGCCGAUCGCACGGUCCUCGCGCCGGCGACGGAUCCUUCGAAUGUCUGCCCUAUCAACUUUCGAUGGUACGUUAUGCGCCUACCAUGGUCGUCACGGGUAACGGAGAAUCAGGGUUCGAUUCCGGAGAGGGAGCCUGAGAAACGGCUACCACAUCUAAGGAAGGCAGCAGGCGCGUAAAUUACCCAAUCCUGAUUCAGGGAGGUAGUGACAAGAAAUAGCAAACUGGAUGAUUUUUCAUCACAGUAUUGCAAUGAGAACAACGUAAAUGCUUUAUCGAUUAACAAUUGGAGGGCAAGUCUGGUGCCAGCAGCCGCGGUAAUUCCAGCUCCAAUAGCGUAUAUUAAAGUUGUUGCAGUUAAAAAGCUCGUAGUUGAACUUCUGUACGUUCACAGUUCUGGCUUUGGUCAAGCUGUGGAGCGUGCAUCCGCUUGCAAACUUAGACCGGCCUUCACUGGUCGACUAAGGGAGUAAGCCCUUUACUUUGAAAAAAUUAGAGUGUUUCUAGCAGGCUUUGGCUCGAAUACAUUAGCAUGGAAUAAUGGAAUAGGACUUUUGUCCAUUUGGUUGGUUAUUGGACAUUAGUAAUGAUUAAAAGGGACAGUUGGGGGCAUUAGUACUUAAUAGUCAGAGGUGAAAUUCUUGGAUUUAUUAAAGACUAACUUAUGCGAAAGCAUUUGCCAAGGAUGUUUUCAUUAAUCAAGAACGAAAGUUAGGGGAUAAAAGACGAUCAGAUACCGCCCUAGUCUUAACUAAAAACUAAACGGACUAAACCGAAAGAGCGCCGGGAAGGAAAAGGUGUAACCCCACAUCAAACUUCCAUCCUCCUUAACUCAGUAAAAACACAAAACACAGA
Molecule: ribosomal RNA, 945 nt
Filed under: uncultured ciliate
Lineage: Eukaryota; Ciliophora
Description: SSU rRNA
Rfam family: Eukaryotic small subunit ribosomal RNA
Source: RNAcentral